This 838-nucleotide long non-coding RNA is filed under the name Carica papaya (papaya). RNAcentral describes it as "long non-coding RNA (CPAP_LNC011526)". Lineage: Eukaryota; Viridiplantae; Streptophyta; Magnoliopsida; Brassicales; Caricaceae. The record is from RNAcentral.
UCUUGGACUCCUUUUCCAAGUUGAGCUCUUUCCUCUCUUCUUGACUAUCCUUAUCCUUCUUGAAUACUAUAAUGUCUAGCAAACAUUUUUCUAUAGAGAUGUUGUCUUCUCUUUGGACUUAAAGUGAUAGAGUUGGAAGAAAAGUCUCCUCCCUUUUAGUGUUGGAAUCCUUCAAGUAAUCUCCCUCUACCUCUCUAUUUUGGUGUCCUUCUAUGCCUAGAAUUAUUUUAGCCAAUUACUCUUCCCGAAGGCCUUCUUGGUUCCCUUUCUUUUCGGCUUCUUCUUCCUUCUCUAAGUCAGAAUUAAGAAGCACAAGCUUCCUUGUGUAACUAGGUCUCCUCCCCCUUGGACUCCUUUGGGUGUGGAUACUUGGACUCAAAGUCAGGCUUGGCCAAGUCUUGGGCUUCUUCUUGGCGACAACUAUACCUCUUCUUGGUCAUCCAAGACUGAAACUAGGUUUGUAUGGCUUGAAUCUCCUCGGGUAGGGCUUAAUAAGCUCUUCUUAGGUUGAUCCUUUAGAGCAAAGCCUUUAGGCUCUUGGGUCUUGGGCUUUAGCCUCUUGGACUGGCUAUUUUGAAGUAUCUUAGACUCAUCGUGGGUCUGGAGCACUUGUUGGGCUUCAAGAAAAUUCACCCAUUCAAAAAUAGGCCUACAAACUCACAGGACUCCACCCACGGGUAGGGGAGUUCUUUUCCGUGUGUGAAAAGGACUCACGAGCAUGAGGUCUUAUGUGCGUGACAUGUGCUCCCAUGCUAACAUUACGCGAGCAUCCCUUAUAUGCACGUGGAUGGCUUGUUGUGUGUGCAUAUGAGGACCGUGUCUCGCAUGUGGGUUCUCU